This is an unclassified non-coding RNA of Cavia aperea (Brazilian guinea pig), 102 nucleotides long. It matches the Rfam family "Y RNA". Rfam says of the family: Y RNAs are components of the Ro ribonucleoprotein particle (Ro RNP), in association with Ro60 and La proteins. The record is from Ensembl. NCBI's taxonomy places the organism in Eukaryota, Metazoa, Chordata, Mammalia, Rodentia, Caviidae.
GGCUGUUCCGAGUGCAGUGGUGUUUACAACUAAUUGAUCAUAACCAGUUACAGAUUUCUUUGUUCCUUCUCCCCUCCCACUGCUUCACUUGACUAGCCUAAA